CGGCGGAAUCCAUUGCCGAGGAAACGUUCGGG
RNAcentral lists this non-coding RNA (32 nucleotides) under Geobacter sulfurreducens KN400. Lineage: Bacteria; Pseudomonadati; Thermodesulfobacteriota; Desulfuromonadia; Geobacterales; Geobacteraceae. The record is from RNAcentral.